This 22-nucleotide microRNA is filed under the name Oryza sativa (Asian cultivated rice). RNAcentral's name for it is "osa-miR5795". The record is from miRBase by way of RNAcentral. Lineage: Eukaryota; Viridiplantae; Streptophyta; Magnoliopsida; Poales; Poaceae.
AUGUCGAGGUCGAGUUCCCGGC